RNAcentral lists this ribosomal RNA (465 nucleotides) under Vreelandella stevensii. Its description in RNAcentral is "partial 16S ribosomal RNA". It matches the Rfam family "Bacterial small subunit ribosomal RNA", at positions 338 to 795 of the family's 1533-position model. Lineage: Bacteria; Pseudomonadati; Pseudomonadota; Gammaproteobacteria; Oceanospirillales; Halomonadaceae. The record is from RNAcentral.
CCUACGGGCGGUAGCAGUGGGGAAUAUUGGACAAUGGGGGGAACCCUGAUCCAGCCAUGCCGCGUGUGUGAAGAAGGCCCUCGGGUUGUAAAGCACUUUCAGUGAGGAAGAACGCCUGGUGGUUAAUACCCAUCAGGAAAGACAUCACUCACAGAAGAAGCACCGGCUAACUCCGUGCCAGCAGCCGCGGUAAUACGGAGGGUGCGAGCGUUAAUCGGAAUUACUGGGCGUAAAGCGCGCGUAGGUGGCUUGAUAAGCCGGUUGUGAAAGCCCCGGGCUCAACCUGGGAACGGCAUCCGGAACUGUCAAGCUAGAGUGCAGGAGAGGAAGGUAGAAUUCCCGGUGUAGCGGUGAAAUGCGUAGAGAUCGGGAGGAAUACCAGUGGCGAAGGCGGCCUUCUGGACUGACACUGACACUGAGGUGCGAAAGCGUGGGUAGCAAACAGGAUUAGAUACCCCUGUAGUC